This 465-nucleotide ribosomal RNA is filed under the name uncultured bacterium. RNAcentral's name for it is "partial 16S ribosomal RNA". It matches the Rfam family "Bacterial small subunit ribosomal RNA", at positions 28 to 507 of the family's 1533-position model. The record is from RNAcentral.
GAUGAACGCUGGCGGCGUGCUUAACACAUGCAAGUCGAACGGAAAGGCUCCUGCUUGCAGGGGUACUCGAGUGGCGAACGGGUGAGUAACACGUGGGUGAUCUGCCCUGCACUUCGGGAUAAGCCUGGGAAACUGGGUCUAAUACCGGAUAGGACCACAUUUUGGAUGGUGUGGUGGAAAGUUUUUCGGUGUGGGAUGAGCUCGCGGCCUAUCAGCUUAUUGGUGGGGUAAUGGCCUACCAAGGCGUCGACGGGUAGCCGGCCUGAGAGGGUGUACGGCCACAUUGGGACUGAGAUACGGCCCAGACUCCUACGGGAGGCAGCAGUGGGGAAUAUUGCACAAUGGGCGCAAGCCUGAUGCAGCGACGCCGCGUGGGGGAUGACGGCCUUCGGGUUGUAAACUCCUUUCGCUAGGGACGAAGCGCAAGUGACGGUACCUGGAGAAGAAGCACCGGCUAACUACGUG